GAAGGAAGUAAAAAAGAAAGAAAAGAUAUGAUCAAGAGAUGGAGGAUAAUUGCAGAAAUGUUUUUGCUGAUUGUCUUUUUAAAAACAUCUUAGUUUCAGUUUUUUUUAAUAG
RNAcentral lists this non-coding RNA (112 nucleotides) under Ditylum brightwellii. Lineage: Eukaryota; Bacillariophyta; Thalassiosirophyceae; Lithodesmiales; Lithodesmiaceae. The record is from RNAcentral.